This 82-nucleotide non-coding RNA is filed under the name Aspergillus nidulans FGSC A4. The record is from RNAcentral. Lineage: Eukaryota; Fungi; Ascomycota; Eurotiomycetes; Eurotiales; Aspergillaceae.
CUCCAGCGACGAGCUCACACCUCACCGUGGUGCUGGAAUCCAGUAGUCUAAAUUUUUGGAGAUGGACGAAGCUAAGAUGAGC